GACGAACGCUGGCGGCGUGCCUAACACAUGCAAGUCGAACGGGGGGAACAUGAAGUAUUUCGGUACGGAAUGCGCCCCUAGUGGCGAACGGGUGAGUAACACGUGGGCAACCUGCCCCAGACUGGGGGAUAACAUUGUGAAAACAGUGCUAAUACCGCAUGACAGGGUUCCGGGCAUCCGGGACCCUUGAAAGGAGAAAUCCGGUCAGGGGAUGGGGCCCGCGUCCAAUUAGCUAGUUGGCGGGGUAACGGCCCACCAAGGCGACGAUUGGUAGCCGAACUGAGAGGUUGAUCGGCCACAUUGGGACUGAGACACGGCCCAGACUCCUACGGGAGGCAGGCAGUGGGGAAUAUUGGGCAAUGGGCGAAAGCCUGACCCAGCGACGCCGCGUGAAGGAUGAAGGUCUUCGGAUUGUAAACUUCUUUGAUCAGGGAGAAGAAAUGACGGUACCUGAAAACAAGCCACGGCUAACUACGUG
Molecule: ribosomal RNA, 478 nt
Filed under: uncultured bacterium
Lineage: Bacteria
Description: bacterial SSU rRNA
Rfam family: Bacterial small subunit ribosomal RNA
Source: RNAcentral